Molecule: ribosomal RNA, 253 nt
Filed under: uncultured bacterium
Lineage: Bacteria
Description: partial 16S ribosomal RNA
Rfam family: Bacterial small subunit ribosomal RNA
Source: RNAcentral
UACGGAGGGUGCAAGCGUUAUCCGGAUUCACUGGGUUAAAGGGUGCGUAGGCGGCUAUAUAAGUCAGUGGUGAAAGCCCGCAAGCUCAACUGCGGAACUGCCAUUGAAACUGCAUAGCUUGAAUCUGGUUGAAGUGGGCGGAAUACAUCAUGUAGCGGUGAAAUGCUUAGAUAUGAUGUAGAACACCGAUUGCGAAGGCAGCUCACUAAGCCAACAUUGACGCUGAGGCACGAAAGCGUGGGGAUCAAACAGG